CCCGGGCCUUGUACACACCGCCCGUCACACCACGAAAGUUGGCAAUACCCGAAGCCGGUGGGCUAACCCGCAAGGAGGCAGCCGUCGAAGGUAGGGUUGAUGAUUGGGUG
Molecule: ribosomal RNA, 110 nt
Filed under: uncultured bacterium
Lineage: Bacteria
Description: partial 16S ribosomal RNA
Rfam family: Bacterial small subunit ribosomal RNA
Source: RNAcentral